This 75-nucleotide transfer RNA is filed under the name Gammaproteobacteria bacterium RIFCSPLOWO2_12_47_11. Its description in RNAcentral is "tRNA-Val". It matches the Rfam family "tRNA". Rfam says of the family: Transfer RNA (tRNA) molecules are approximately 80 nucleotides in length. The record is from RNAcentral. RNAcentral also lists the same sequence under 1 other name. Lineage: Bacteria; Pseudomonadati; Pseudomonadota; Gammaproteobacteria.
GGGCGAUUAGCUCAGCGGUAGAGCACUGUCCUCACACGACAGGGGUCGCUGGUUCAAACCCAGCAUCGCCCACCA